This 395-nucleotide ribosomal RNA is filed under the name uncultured bacterium. RNAcentral describes it as "bacterial SSU rRNA". It matches the Rfam family "Bacterial small subunit ribosomal RNA", at positions 64 to 507 of the family's 1533-position model. The record is from RNAcentral.
GAGCGCCCCGCAAGGGGAGCGGCAGACGGGUGAGUAACACGUGGGAAUCUACCCAGCUCUACGGAAUAACUCAGGGAAACUUGUGCUAAUACCGUAUACGUCCGAGAGGAGAAAGAUUUAUCGGAGUUGGAUGAGCCCGCGUCGGAUUAGCUAGUUGGUGGGGUAAAGGCCUACCAAGGCGACGAUCCGUAGCUGGUCUGAGAGGAUGAUCAGCCACACUGGGACUGAGACACGGCCCAGACUCCUACGGGAGGCAGCAGUGGGGAAUAUUGGACAAUGGGCGCAAGCCUGAUCCAGCCAUGCCGCGUGAGUGAAGAAGGCCUUAGGGUUGUAAAGCUAUUUUGGCGGGGACGAUAAUGACGGUACCCGCAGAAUAAGCCCCGGCUAACUUAGUG